Cyanistes caeruleus (blue tit) is the source of this 662-nucleotide non-coding RNA. Lineage: Eukaryota; Metazoa; Chordata; Aves; Passeriformes; Paridae. The record is from RefSeq and is a predicted model, not a curated record.
CCUUUCUGCAGACUGGUGCUGUCCAGGAGAUGAGGUCCAAGGGCGGCCGGGAGCGACAGUGGAGCAACUCCCGUGUGUUGUAGCGUAUUCCUGGCUUUUUCAGCCCAAACUUGAACUGCCUGAUCCCCCCGCUGGAGGAGAAGCCCACCUUGAGUGCUUUAACCCCGCGGUAUUUAUGCAGCACCAUCCUCACCCAGCUCCCGGUGGCUUUGGGUCAUCGUCCCUCUGGAAAAUCCCUCCUUCCCAGAGGCACUGGCCGGUGACGUGGGGAGGGAGUGGGGACAGCAGCCCCCAUCUCCUGCCCCGCCUGCAAAGGACACAGCCGCCCCCCUGAGACGUGCCAGGAGCUGCCAGGCGCAGCCCACGUGUGCCAAACCCUCCCAGUUUCCCUUUUCCCACUCCCGUGUCUCCCAUGGGCUGCAUGGUGGUGCCUCAGUUUCCCCAGGGAAUCAAUUAUGGUGCAGAGGCAGAUUUGGUGCCUCCCAGAACAUCACAGAGGAGCAAAACCAGGAUUAAGCCCUGAUAUUCUGGUGCCAAACCAGAAUUAAUCCCAAGAUGUUCUGGUGUCAGACCAGGAUUUGAUGUCAAACUGGGAUUAAACCCCAAUUCUUUGGAGCAGAACCGGGAUUAAACCCCGAUGUUUUGGUGCCAAACCCGGAUCA